RNAcentral lists this ribosomal RNA (464 nucleotides) under Escherichia coli. RNAcentral describes it as "bacterial SSU rRNA". It matches the Rfam family "Bacterial small subunit ribosomal RNA", at positions 30 to 483 of the family's 1533-position model. The record is from RNAcentral. Lineage: Bacteria; Pseudomonadati; Pseudomonadota; Gammaproteobacteria; Enterobacterales; Enterobacteriaceae.
AUUGAACGCUGGCGGCAGGCCUAACACAUGCAAGUCGAACGGUAACAGGAAGAAGCUUGCUUCUUUGCUGACGAGUGGCGGACGGGUGAGUAAUGUCUGGGAAACUGCCUGAUGGAGGGGGAUAACUACUGGAAACGGUAGCUAAUACCGCAUAACGUCGCAAGACCAAAGAGGGGGACCUUCGGGCCUCUUGCCAUCGGAUGUGCCCAGAUGGGAUUAGCUAGUAGGUGGGGUAACGGCUCACCUAGGCGACGAUCCCUAGCUGGUCUGAGAGGAUGACCAGCCACACUGGAACUGAGACACGGUCCAGACUCCUACGGGAGGCAGCAGUGGGGAAUAUUGCACAAUGGGCGCAAGCCUGAUGCAGCCAUGCCGCGUGUAUGAAGAAGGCCUUCGGGUUGUAAAGUACUUUCAGCGGGGAGGAAGGGAGUAAAGUUAAUACCUUGCUCAUUGACGUACCCGCA